GUCCUUGCUUCAGCACACAUAUACUAAAAUUGGAAUGAUACAGAGAAGAUUAGCAUGGGCCCCUAUGCAAGGAGGACAUGCAAUUUCGUGAACCAUUCCAUAUUUUC
Molecule: small nuclear RNA, 107 nt
Organism: Nannospalax galili (Upper Galilee mountains blind mole rat)
Lineage: Eukaryota; Metazoa; Chordata; Mammalia; Rodentia; Spalacidae
Source: Ensembl